Molecule: small nucleolar RNA, 145 nt
Filed under: Sorex araneus (European shrew)
Lineage: Eukaryota; Metazoa; Chordata; Mammalia; Eulipotyphla; Soricidae
Description: Small nucleolar RNA SNORA79 (ENSSARG00000017212.1)
Rfam family: Small nucleolar RNA SNORA79
About the family: ACA65 (SNORA79) is a member of the H/ACA class of snoRNAs that guide the sites of modification of uridines to pseudouridines. This snoRNA was identified by computational screening and its expression in mouse experimentally verified by Northern blot and primer extension analysis.
Source: RNAcentral
UGGUGGCUGUUCCUCCUAUUGCCUAGAGUGCUGGCACUAGGAUUUUAGGUCAUCAUAAAUUAAAAUUUGAUUUUCUUCACUCAGAGAAUAUUGAGAUAAUGGGAUUAUCUUGUUUGUUCUCUGAAAUUUGCGGAAUCUGACACUC